CUUAUUGCCCUGGCUAUAAUUUCAUGUGCUAUAUUGAAUAAGAGCACUAAGACUAGACAUUCUUGUCUCAUUCCUGAUUUUUGAGGCUCUGUUUUUAGUUUUUCCCAUUCAGUGUGAUCAUAGUUGUGGGUUUAGCAUAUAUAGAUUCUAUUAUAGUCAAAUAGGUUUCUAUAUCUUUUCUUUUUUACCUACCACUGUAAUAUUUGAUACUAAGUUUUAUUCUUUGAGAGCUUCAUAGAGUCUACAAUGAAAUGUGAUCAUAUCUAUCUCCCAUUUGCUCCCCCCAAGUCCCUCUGGGCCUCCCUGUAAUGACCACCUCUAUUCUUUUAAUAUUCCACUGAGUCAAAUUAGUGCUGCUCAUAUGUGAACAAUUGGGGUUAUGAGGUCAUCCAAUGGAACAUAGGUGACACCCUCAAGAACAAUGACUCUCCCUCCUCUGGUAGCUAUCAAUUGCCAAUAGCUCUUCAGUAAAGGGUGAGGCCUUUUAAGUUCCUCCCUCAUCUAUGCUGGAAGUUUGGAUUCCUUAUUCUUGUACAGGUCUUAUGCCAGUAACCAUAGCUCCUGUGAAUUCAUGAGUGCCAUAUUCUUGUCACAUCCAGAAAACAGCACUUCUAGCAACCCUCUCCAUCCUCCAGUUCUUAAAUUCCUCUGCCUUUUCUUUUGGAAUGUUCCCUGAACUUGGUAUCACAAAAUGGAGUAUUUCUUCUAUGUCAGGUCAAAGGAGCCCCUUUCUCCGGUCAUGGGAGAUAAUGCCAACAAAUAAUGCAAUGGAGAUAUGCUUGAAAUCGUGUCUCCUGUUUCUGCUGUCCCAAUGAGAAGAUGGACAGCAUUUAGAACGUUUUCUGAAGAACAGAAGAAAGGCUCAAUCCUCUUCUACACAUUACAAGCAACAGCCUUCCUCUACCAGUCAUAACAACAAAGUCUUCUGGAGUGGUAUGAGUUAUUGUUCUAUGUUUAGCAAAAACAAAUAAAGCUUUAUUUAA
Molecule: small RNA, 983 nt
Filed under: Rattus norvegicus (Norway rat)
Lineage: Eukaryota; Metazoa; Chordata; Mammalia; Rodentia; Muridae
Description: uncharacterized LOC102554505
Source: RNAcentral